RNAcentral lists this ribosomal RNA (253 nucleotides) under uncultured bacterium. RNAcentral describes it as "partial 16S ribosomal RNA". It matches the Rfam family "Bacterial small subunit ribosomal RNA", at positions 524 to 776 of the family's 1533-position model. The record is from RNAcentral.
UACGGAGGAGGCAAGCGUUAUCCGGAAUUAUUGGGCGUAAAGCGUCCGCAGGUGGCGAUUCAAGUCUGCGGUCAAAGACUGGGGCUUAACCCUGGAAAGGCCGUGGAAGCUGAAAAGCUAGAGUGCAGUAGGGGUAGAGGGAAUUCCCGGUGUAGCGGUGAAAUGCGUAGAGCUCGGGAAGAACAUCGGUGGCGAAAGCGCUCUGCUGGACUGCAACUGACACUCAGGGACGAAAGCUAGGGGAGCGAAUGGG